Molecule: non-coding RNA, 142 nt
Organism: Gossypium raimondii (Peruvian cotton)
Lineage: Eukaryota; Viridiplantae; Streptophyta; Magnoliopsida; Malvales; Malvaceae
Source: Rfam
GAAUAAAUUUAUUCAUUUAUUUUGUUAAAAUUUGAUGUGGCUAAUAGAAUAAUCAAAUAGUGACACGUGACAUGCCAUAUGUACCUCAUACUACGGAUUAACAAUCAAUUUUUAGUAGUAAAAAUGGAUGAAAAUUUUAACA